Molecule: ribosomal RNA, 300 nt
Filed under: uncultured Paenibacillus sp.
Lineage: Bacteria; Bacillati; Bacillota; Bacilli; Caryophanales; Paenibacillaceae
Description: bacterial SSU rRNA
Rfam family: Bacterial small subunit ribosomal RNA
Source: RNAcentral
GGUGAACUGUGGGCGGGCUGCUACUGUAAUACGAAGGAUCCAUGCGUUAUCCGUAGUUAUUGGGUUUAAAGGGUGCGUAGGCGGCUUAGUAAGGCAGAGGUGAAAGCCUGGAGCUUAACUCCAGAACUGCCUUUGAUACUGAUGAGCUUGAAUAUAGUUGAGGUAGGCGGAAUGUGUCAUGUAGCGGUGAAAUGCUUAGAUAUGACACAGAACACCGAUUGCGAAGGCAGCUUGCUAAACUAUAAUUGACGCUGAGGCACUAAAGCGUGGGGAUCAAACAGGAUUAGAUACCCCGUAGUC